RNAcentral lists this ribosomal RNA (279 nucleotides) under uncultured bacterium. RNAcentral describes it as "partial 16S ribosomal RNA". It matches the Rfam family "Bacterial small subunit ribosomal RNA", at positions 506 to 784 of the family's 1533-position model. The record is from RNAcentral.
UGCCAGCAGCCGCGGUAAUACGGAGGAUGCGAGCGUUAUCCGGAAUUACUGGGCGUAAAGCGCACGUAGGCGGAUCAAUAAGUCAGGGGUGAAAUCCCGAGGCUCAACCUCGGAACUGCCUUUGAUACUGUUGGUCUUGAGUUCGAGAGAGGUGAGUGGAAUUCCGAGUGUAGAGGUGAAAUUCGUAGAUAUUCGGAGGAACACCAGUGGCGAAGGCGGCUCACUGGCUCGAUACUGACGCUGAGGUGCGAAAGCGUGGGGAGCAAACAGGAUUAGAUA